Molecule: ribosomal RNA, 714 nt
Filed under: Triticum aestivum (bread wheat)
Lineage: Eukaryota; Viridiplantae; Streptophyta; Magnoliopsida; Poales; Poaceae
Description: partial small subunit ribosomal RNA
Source: RNAcentral
GAACUUUUCUGCUUUGGAGAAGCCGUUGAGGCAGCGGCCGAUUAUGCUGACUUGUUUGGUUGCGCACAUGGCCAUUUUCCAAUUAAAUAUCUGGGAAUACCGAUUCAUUAUCGAUGUCUCACCAUUGUGGAGUGGAAGCAUGUAGAGGAGCGGUUAGAGAAACGGUUGAGCAGCUGGAAAGGCAAGCUGCUCUCUGUUGGAGGACGGCUGGUUUUGAUUAACUCUGUCCUCACAAAUAUGGUCCUCUAUAUGCUUUCUUUCUUCCAACUCCCAAAAGGGGUCCUGCAAAGACUGGACUAUUUCAGAUUCAGAUUCUUUGGGCAAGGAGAUGGGGAAAAGAAAAAAUACAGACUAGCCAAGUGGAGUGUGGUUUGUAGGCCGAAAGACCAAGGUGGCCUUGGAAUUCAUGACCUGCAGGUCAAGAAUGAGGCUCUCCUUAGUAAAUGGUUGUUCAAACUUCUUACUGAGGAUGGUGUUUGGCAAACCAUAGUGCGCAACAAGUAUCUAGGCCACAAGGCGGUGUCUCAGGCAUAUUGGAAACCUGGCGACUCGCACUUUUGGGCUGACCUAAUGGCGGCAAAGAAACAUCUCUUUCGCUUUGGGUCUUUCGCGAUAAAGGAUGGGUCGGAGAUUCGUUUUUGGGAAGAUAUCUGGCUAGGCGGUGUCACUCUCCGAGAACAAUAUCCAGCCUUGUACAACAUUGCUCGCGAUAAG